Molecule: ribosomal RNA, 453 nt
Filed under: uncultured organism
Description: partial 16S ribosomal RNA
Rfam family: Bacterial small subunit ribosomal RNA
Source: RNAcentral
UACACUCCUACGGGAGGCAGCAGUGGGGAAUAUUGGACAAUGGGCGCAAGCCUGAUCCAGCCAUGCCGCGUGAGUGAUGAAGGCCCUAGGGUUGUAAAGCUCUUUCACCGGUGAAGAUAAUGACGGUAACCGGAGAAGAAGCCCCGGCUAACUUCGUGCCAGCAGCCGCGGUAAUACGAAGGGGGCUAGCGUUGUUCGGAUUUACUGGGCGUAAAGCGCACGUAGGCGGACUAUUAAGUCAGGGGUGAAAUCCCGGGGCUCAACCCCGGAACUGCCUUUGAUACUGGUAGUCUUGAGUUCGAGAGAGGUGAGUGGAAUUCCGAGUGUAGAGGUGAAAUUCGUAGAUAUUCGGAGGAAUACCAGUGGCGAAGGCGGCUCACUGGCUCGAUACUGACGCUGAGGUGCGAAAGCGUGGGGAGCAAACAGGAUUAGAAACCCGAGUAGUCCCAUGAU